GGAUCUUCGUAUGUCCAAGGGAAAAAAAAAGCUAACUGCUCGAAACACACAGUAGAUGAAAAAGGGACUAGACUCAUCGGAAUUAACAGUCUUAAAUAGGUGUACGGCAAUUGAAAGGAUGGAUCAUUUUACUUGCUGUCUGUAUCUGGAAGAAUAACCUGACUCGGCCCAAUCAGUGGUGGAGCGGUGCGCAAUGUGGAGGUUUCUUGCAGGUCGGCGGGAGCAGCAACGAGAGGUGUAAAUAAAAGUACAGAAGAGACAAGUGGAGCAGGCAUUGAUGGGAGUGGGCCAGUAGUGAGAGUGGGAGUGUCAGGUUUUGGCUCAAAGGAGGAUUCAGCUCUGACCAGGCAUUAGCUCUGGGCAAGUUGUCCAGAUUACCAUUUUUUUCUGGAAGUUAUAGCAGAUGAACUACUUUCAAGCAAGAAAGAAGCAGCAGUAUAUCCACUACUUUUAAAGAAGAGAAUUUUUAAUAUACAGUAUAUUAAAAUAAGCAUUAUUCAUAACAAAAAAAGUAUUUACCAUACACCAUGAAAUGCCUUCAGAAUGAUUCAAGGAAAAUCUCUCUAAUAUAGUUUGCCAUUCUCAAAGAUAUGGUGAUGGAAGGUUCCAUUGUGGUCUUCAAGGAUAAAUAUAUGGUGAGUAAAAAUUUCAAGACCGUAACAUAUAGGAGCAGAAUUAGGCCAUUUGGCCUAAUUGGCCAUUAGGCCCAUUGAAUCUGCUCCACAUCAUGGCUCUCAGCCCAAAUCUGCUGCCUUCUCCCCAUAUCCCUUCAUGCCCUGACCAAUCAACAAUCUUAUCAACCGCUGCCUUAAAUAUACGAGGGCUGAUUGAUACGUUUGUGGCCUAAGGUAGAAGGUGUGAAUUUUAGAAAACCUAGCACAGUUAUUUUUCAACAUAGUCCCCUCCUACAUUUACACACUUAGUCCAGCGGUCGGGAAGCAUACAGAUCUUGGACCUCCAGAAUGUGUCCAAAGAUGGGUGAUUGAUAAGUUUGUAGCCUAAGGUAGAAAUCGAUGAGUUAUACAUCUCUCAUUAGAUGCACAUGCAGGUCAACUCUUUGAGUGAUUAUGCAGAAAGUUUGAAGUUAAUAACUCAUCUCCUACUGUAUGUGUAUAAAUGUAGGAGGGGACUAUGUUGAAAAAUAAAUGUGCUAGGUUUUCUAAAAUUGACUCCUUCUACCUUAGGCCAUGAACAUAUCAAUCACCCCCAGUACAUAAAGACCUGGCUUCCACAGCUGCCUGUGACAAAGAAUUCCACAGAUUCACCACACUUUGGCAAAAGAAGUUCCUUCUCAUCUGCAUUCUAUUCUGAGGCUAUGUCCUCUGGGCUCAGACUCUCCCACCCAUCAUCUCCACUCAUCCACACUAUCGAGGCCUUUCAUCAUUCGAUAGGUUUCAAUCAGGUCAACCCUCAUUCUGAGUUCUAGUGGAUACAGGCCCAGAACCAUCCAACGCUCUUCUUCUGACAAGUGAUUCAACCCUGGAAUCAUUUUUAUGACUCUCCGCUGAACCCUCUCCGGUUUCAGUACAUCCUUUCUAAGAUGAGGGCCCAAAACUGCUCCCAAUAACCGUGAAGCCUCACCAAAGCUUUAUAAAGUCUCAACAUUACAUUCUUGCUUUUAUAUUCUAGUUCUCUUGAAAUAAGCGAAGACUAGAAUGAAUGAAGACAAAAGAGGAAGGACAGGGAUUGGAUUAGCAAGUUCCUCUGGUAAUGAACCUGAGUAAAUAUAGAGUAACAGAACACUACAGCACAGAAGCAGGCCCCUUUUACCUAGUAUCUUCAAAAUGCACCUGGACCAUAGCUCUCCAUACCUGUCUCAUCCAAGUACCUAUCUAACUUUCUCCCUUAAUCCAAGACCUCUAGUUGUAGUCUCACACAACCUCAGUGGAAAAAGACUGCUUGUAUUUACCCUAUCUAUACCUUCUUAAUUUUGUCUACCUCUAUCAACUCUCCCUUUGUUCUCCUACACUCCAGGGAAUAAAGUUGUAACCUAUACAACCUUCCCUAUAACUCAGAUCCUCAAGUCCCAGCUACAUUCUUGUAAAUUUUCUCAGCACUCUUUGAAUCUUAUUGACAUCUUUCCUGUAUAUAGAUUACCAAAACUGCACACUAUACUCCAAAUUAGGCUUCACCAACAUCUUAUACAUCUUCAAUGUAAUAUCACAACUUCUGUACUCAAUACUUCGAUAUUGAAGGCCCAAUGUGCCAAAAACUUUCUUUACCACCCUAUCUAUGUGACUUUGCUUUCAAGAAUUUGUGGAUCUGUAUUCCCAGAUUCCUCAGUUCUGCUGCACUCCUCAGUGCCAUACUGCUCACCAUUUAAAACCAGGUCCUUACCUGGUUUCUCCUUCCAGAGUGCAACACCUCACUCUUGCCUGCAUUAAAUUCCAUCUGCCAGUAUUCAGCCCAUUUAUCCAGCUGGUCCAGUUCCCACUGCAAGGUUUGAUAAGUCUUCCUCACCAUCCACUGUACCCCCUAACUCGAUGUCAUCUGCAAAUUUGCUGAUCAAGUUCACCACAUUAUCAUCAGGACUAUCAACGUAGAUGGCAAACAUCAGACCCAGCACGGAUCCCUGCGGCACUAGGCCUCCAGUCAGAGAGGUAGCCAUCUACUACCACUCUGGCUUCUCUACAAAGCCAAAGUCUAAUCCAGUUUACUACUCCGUCUUUCAUGUGAAGCGACUGAACCCUCUUGACCAACCUCCCAAGUAGGACCUUGUCAAAGGCCUUGCUAACAUCCACUGACAAUACCCACUGACCUUGCCUUCAUCAACUUCCCAAUUAACUUUCUUGAUAAACUUCAUAAGAUCAGAUUCGGCCUACUGCAUAUCCAAAUACAUAUAUCUGGUCUUUUAGCUUACCUUACGAUAAUGUUCCCACUACUAAUGUCUGGCUCAUUGGCCUAUAAUUCCCUGGCUUAUUCUUAGAGCAGUUCUUAAACACGGAACCACAUUAGCUAACUUCAAAUCUUCCGGCACCUCACCCAUUGCUAAGGAUUAUCUCUACGGACUCUGCAACUACUGCACUAGCGUCCCACAGUGUGUGAGGAACUUACAUACUUUAAUUUGCCUUAAGGCAGCAAACAACACCUACUCUAUAAUCUGUACACAUUGCAUGACUCCAUUGCUGCUUUGACCAAUUUCCAUAGACUCUGUGUCCAUCCCCCAAGUAAAUACAGGAGGAAAAAUCCAUUUAAAAUUUUUCCCAUCUCUUUCAGCUCCAUACAUUGAUGUCUUCUCUGAUCUUCCAGAGGAGUAAUUUUGUCCCUAGCUGUCCUUUUGCUCUUAGUACAUCUGUAAAAGCUAUUGGGAUUCUCCUUCACCUUAUCUGCUAGAGCAGGGGUGGGCAAACUUUUUGACUUGUGGGCCACAAAGGGUUCUAAAAUUUGACAGGGGGGCCGGACCAGGAGCAAAUGGACGGAGUGUUUUGGUAAUACACCUCAUAAGAGAAAAUAAAAUAUCAUGGGAUAUGUAGAAAACAUGUGCUUUAAUUUCAAUUGAAAAUGAACAAAUGCAUGACAACAAAAUAUCUGUCUUUGAAGUCCCAUGGUAUUUAGCUAUUUAUUGAAAUGACUUUUAAAACACUGAAAAUUAAAUGAAUAAAAUACAGCUUUUUUUAAUAGUAACAGUUAUUAUUUUAAAGCACCGAAAAUUCUGUUAUCCUUCAAGAUAUUAUCAUCAUCACUCUCCUCCUGACUGUCUUUAUUUCAAAAACGGUAGGAGAUGCAGGUCUACUUGUCCUGCUCCUUCUUAUUCAAUUGUCCCCUGUGCCAAAACUCAACAACGACCAGCACAAGGACAGAAGUGACAGCGCGCCAGUAUGCAGAGCGCGUUAUUUGAUCUGGAGCGCAUUUUUUAUUUUGAGAACGUACGUGCACCUGCGCACUGCUCAUGUCCAUCACUUAACAGAAAUGACAUGUAACAUGUAAGGCUUAUUGAAAAAAAUAUUUUCAAAUGCAUUUUUUACAUAACACAACGAAGAAACUUAUUUUUAAUUUCAGUGGGAACAGUGUUGUUGGUCUCCCUUUUUAGCCAGCGCAUCAAAGUCUGGAUUUAGUUUUGUUGUGGCGAUUCUCAGGAUGGAUCUGAGGUGUUGGUCAGUUAACUUGGAUCUGUGGCUGGCUUUGUUGAUGUUCAUGACGCUGAACGCCUGUUCACACAAAUAGGUCGAGCCGAACAAAGAGUAAAGCGCAAAUAUGGAGUAAUACGCUGCACCUCAACAAAGGUCAAUGUAUAUAGAGUGCGUCAUCUAUUUGGAAAACGCCAGAAUUGCGGGAAAAAAACGUUAACAAGGUUUAUUAAUAUAAUUUCAUCAAGUUCUGCGGGCCGGAUUAAAAAGCUUAAUGGGCCGCAAGUGGCCCCCAGGCCGUAUUUUGCCCAUGCCUGUGCUAGAACUACCUUAUGCCUUCAUUUAGUCCUCCUGAUUUCCUGAAGUGUUCUCUAGCAUUUCUUAUACUUCUCAAGUAUCUCACUUGUCCCUUCCUAGGAUGUUAGUGUAGGAAAGUGACUGAGAAAAUGAUCAGCCAUAACUGUGAGGAAACAGAUCAGCAUAACUUUAUUUUAUUUAUUUAGAAAUAACAGUGCAGAACAACCCCAUCUGACCCAAAGAUCUGCACUGCCGAGCAACUCACAUUUUUAACCUGAGCCUAAUCUCAGGGCAAUUUACAAUGACCGGUUAACCCACGAACACAGUCUUUGGACUGUGGGAGGAAACCGAAGCAUCCGGAUGAAAUCAACACGUUUCGCGAGGAGAAAGUACAAACCUUACAGAUGGUGCCAGAAAUGAUAUGAAACACCCCAAACAAAUAAUAUUGUGCUGCUAUGCCACCAUGGCACCCUUAGCAGGCAGAAGGCCAAAUAACCUGCUCCUGCUUUUAUUCCUUAGGUUUUAUAGCAGUGGUUGCUAAAUUUUUUGGGGUUACUGCCCCUUUGCUCCCAGACCACAUCUCCAGAGAUCCCUCUUGCUUUCUGGCCUUUACAUAAAAACUGGAAAGAAAUUUGAUUUAUGAUGCACAGUGAAAGAAAAUAGAAACUGUAAAUUUAAAGCAGUGAAAAAUAAUUGCAUAAAUAGUGAAAUCUAUUUAAAGCUACAAAUAAAAUUAUUUCUGUUUAACUUCAAUAAAAGCAACUUUCAUCAAUAAUUUUACAGCAUACCUUACUAGUCGAACUAUUCACUACGACAUUGUUUUUUCACCUUUCGAUAAGAUGGAUGGACUUGGUACUGUGAUUUCAGCUUUUAAACAUCAGGCUGAAUGUUACUCAGAAGGAAUCAUGGAUCCCCACGACCUGUGAUUUGCAGCUGUUUCAAUGCUUUGAAACAAGUUGGAUGACUGCACUGAAACAGUACUGAACUAAGUAUGAUGUUGGAAAAGAAAUAAA
Molecule: long non-coding RNA, 5377 nt
Organism: Hypanus sabinus (Atlantic stingray)
Lineage: Eukaryota; Metazoa; Chordata; Chondrichthyes; Myliobatiformes; Dasyatidae
Exons: 4
Source: RefSeq, a predicted model, not a curated record